CCCUGUCUCUUGCAUCUCCUGCGUUGCAGGCAGACUCUUUACCAUCUGUAGUAUUUUGUGACUCAUAAACCUUUCCACAGUUACAUACAUAGUCAUGAUCCUCCUUAAAAUUUUUUUAAGUGAGCCUCCUUAAAAAUUUUAUCACUUUUGCACAGUAUCAUCUGGCAGGAUUCCAAUGGAGAAAGGGUGGGAGGGGGAACUAGACAACCACUCUAGAACUUGGAACUUGGUCCACAGGAAAUCCUUGAGGCCUGAUGGAGUCAUGCUGUUCUAGCACAGAGAUAAAAUUUAUCGAUGAAGACAAGCUGACCCCUGCUAAGCAACUUCUUAUAAAGAGGUGCAUGACAAAUGCUAUCUUUAUAAAACAAUUCCACAAUUGCAGUGUGAAAUGACCCUACAGGAACCUGUGUUCUAGCACUGAAGAUCUCCUGUGAGAAGAGCAUUAAGACUAUUGUCUUCAGUUGAUUGAUCAGUGCAUUCAUUCUGCAUCAACAAAUAUCCAUGGAGCAUUUGUCAUGUGCGAAGUGUUGAUUCAAGAACAUGGAAAGUAUAGUCUGUCCUUGAGGAAUUUAUAGUCUUGAAGAAGAGUAAAAGAUGUAUUCAACAACAGUCUGCCUGUCAGAACUGGAUCAUCAUCUGACUCUUGCAUUGUAUCCAUGAGGGAAUGAUGGCAGAAAGGUGAACUGACCUGCCCAGACCACACCCCUGGUGUAGAAUCACCGGGACAAUGACAAGACCACUGGCUCUGGAGGAAGCCACUUACCCACCACUCACUGGUGGACUGGACACAUUACUUAACCCAGUGAGCUGAGCCAGAACUCAGAAGGCUGAUCUGGGUUGAAGGGCUGGUGAGAAGAGGAACACAGACUUCCUCCAGGACUGCUUUCACUCAUGUUUACUGUGUGACCUGGAAGCAGGAAGUGUGAAGUGUACGUACAAGAUAAGGAUGGAAGCAAGCUGAUGCAGCUUCUCCAUGCCUCCCUAGUUUCUCAGGCCCUUGGCUAAAGUUCAGUUGCCAGGGCUCCACAAGGAGUGAAAAACCUGCCAGGUCAAGGACUCCAGAACCACAAACCAUGGCCUUUUACACGCAGGCUACCAUAGUUAGACACUUCCAUAUUCCAUUUCUCAAUGCUCUUAGGGGCCUAGCAUAGGCCAGCCUUCUAUACCUGCUAAACUUCAGCUCCCUCACCUAUGACAUUUAAUAGUAUAUCUAUUCUAAGCCUUAGGCAAGAUGGACUAUGUAAAGUGCCUAGUAUGGUGCCUGACCCACAGAAGGUGCUUGCUAGAUGGCUCUCUUAGUUGAGGAAUUGACAGUAGGAUUCAAGUCUCCUGACAGAAGGAUUCAAGUCUCUCUCUCAGCCUAAUGCUCAGCCAUUUAAUACACAAAUGGAAACUGCUAUUUAGGAAACUGUUAUUCACUUUGGAAUGAAACAUUAAAGGGAGAGAUAAAACUCAUUAUUUUCAGAAAGCACUACAUGUAUAGAAGUUCUAAGAAAUCUGUUUAAAUUUAUUAUCCCAUGAGUUUAUCAGUGUGAUUGGGUUUAUAAUGAAUUUACCACAAUUAGAUGCUUUGCUUUAAGUUCAAUAACUUAAUAGCCAGUUCAAUAACAUAAUAAAAAGGAAAUAAAUUCCAUUCCAAAAAAAGAAAAAGAGAUGGGAUGGAUAAAUUUAACAGAAUUGCCUAUGACAUUUAUAAAGAAGAUUUAAAGACUUAUGAGCCAUAUGUAAAGAAAACUAUAAAGGUAUAUUAGAAUGUAUAAAACAAGAUGAUCAAAUUGAUAUAUAUAUAUAUUUAUCAUAGGCAAACAAAUUUUACCAAGUAAAGUUUACUAUUUGUUAAAUGUUAAAAUUCUGCACUAACAAGCCAUAAGUUAUGAUGCUGAUCUAGUUCCCAGAAAAUCCUAAAACAAAGUAUAAUAAUUAAAUGAUUAAAGUAAAGAAGUGUGGGACAUAUAGAAAUAAAUUUAAUGUAUCAUAUAACUAUCAUAUUAAGAAAGAUAAUAUUUAUUUAAUAAUUGCCUAAUUCUAUUUCAUAAUUGCCUAAUUAUGCUUUCAUAAUUGCCAGGGUAACUGGCAAACAAACACAAAACAAAAAGUGAUUUAGAUAAGCUCUUAUAACACAUUACAAGAGUAAGCCUCUAGUGGAUUAAAAAGAAUAAAUAUUAGCUUUAAUUCUUAGCAGAGCUAUGGGGAAAAAAAAAUCAAAUAUUAAUGAAAUCUUUAGAGGAAUAGUAUCUUUGAAAAGCUUAGGGCAGUAAAGAAAAUCACAAAGGAAAAAAUAAAUAGCUCAACAACAUCAAGUAAAACAGUGGUUCUAACAUAAAAAACUAACAAAAUUAAAAGAAGAGAAACGUACUUGGAAGUAUCUGUAUUGAUCAUGAUAGAACAGUAGUAUAUAUAAUAGAUAAAGAACUUACUCAAAUUUUCAAAAAUGUUAAAACCUCAAUAGAUAAAUAGUCAAAGUAUAUAAACAUACAAUGCACUUAUGAAGAAAUACAAGUAAAUUGUAUACAUUAAUCACUUCUUAGAAGGAUAUUUAUAAUAGCAAAAUACUGGAAACAAAAAAACAUGCCCAAUAUAAAUAACAAUUCAAUAGACUGUUAUACAGCCAUUAGAAUUGUAAUUAUGAAAACUUUAAAAAUGUUAUUAUUUAAUGGUGGAAGGAGUCAAAUAAUAAUUCUGCUUUAUACUACAUAUCAAAAAAGGCAACAGUGAAAAUCACUAUUGACAAAGAAUAGUGGAAUCAUGGGUAAUAUUUUUUCUGUAAAUUGAGAAGGAAUAAGGAAGCCCCUAUACUAAUAGGUGAACAAUACUAGUUAUUAAACAUUACAGAUUCUAACAUUGGUUGUGCUUUUCAACAUACAGAUGAAAGCACAGUUAGAAGAAACCAGCAGUAUUAGAGUCAGAUGCUAAGUUAUUAGGCUUCCUAGAGUAAGGGUCUUUUACUGCUCCAGAACCUACAGAGAGGACUCAUGUUUCCCAAAGGCACUAGAGAACGCAGGAACACACCUUGAGAAUCGAGUGUGCGAUUCUGCCGCACCUUCGUGGAGCCUUGUUCUGUGUUGUUGAUACUGUUUGUCUUCCUUCCUGAUGCUGUAUUUUUACCAUAAAACUUGCUUUAAAACUUU
Molecule: non-coding RNA, 3128 nt
Organism: Odocoileus virginianus texanus
Lineage: Eukaryota; Metazoa; Chordata; Mammalia; Artiodactyla; Cervidae
Source: RefSeq, a predicted model, not a curated record